UAGCUCAGCUGGGAGAGCGCCUGCCUUGCACGCAGGAGGUCAGCGGUUCGAUCCCGCUAGGCUCCA
RNAcentral lists this transfer RNA (66 nucleotides) under Bacillus thuringiensis serovar yosoo. Its description in RNAcentral is "tRNA-Ala". It matches the Rfam family "tRNA". From Rfam's summary of the family: Transfer RNA (tRNA) molecules are approximately 80 nucleotides in length. Their secondary structure includes four short double-helical elements and three loops (D, anti-codon, and T loops). Further hydrogen bonds mediate the characteristic L-shaped molecular structure. tRNAs have two regions of fundamental functional importance: the anti-codon, which is responsible for specific mRNA codon recognition, and the 3' end, to which the tRNAs corresponding amino acid is attached (by aminoacyl-tRNA synthetases). tRNAs cope with the degeneracy of the genetic code in two manners: having more than one tRNA (with a specific anti-codon) for a particular amino acid; and 'wobble' base-pairing, i.e. permitting non-standard base-pairing at the 3rd anti-codon position. The record is from RNAcentral. Lineage: Bacteria; Bacillati; Bacillota; Bacilli; Caryophanales; Bacillaceae.